Mauremys mutica (yellowpond turtle) is the source of this 8081-nucleotide RNA transcript. It is a transcript of the gene named proteasome 26S subunit, non-ATPase 10, with no coding region annotated. The transcript is spliced from 6 exons. NCBI's taxonomy places the organism in Eukaryota, Metazoa, Chordata, Testudines, Geoemydidae. The record is from RefSeq and is a predicted model, not a curated record.
GGAGGGGGUAGUGGCCCCGCCCCUUGCCUGCGGGGACGGGCCGCGAGCGAGCGCGCGCGCGGCAUGGAGGGCUCGGUGUCCAGCGUGGAGCUCUGUAACCUGGCCUACGCGGGGCAGCUGGAGGAGCUGCAGGACCGGCUGAGGGAGGACCGCGGCCUGGCCACCCGCACCGACCAGGAUCACCGAACAGCGCUGCACUGGGCAUGCUCCGCGGGACACACGGACAUCGUGCAUUUCUUGUUAGGCCUGGGCGUGCCUGUCAAUGACCAGGAUGAUUCUGGCUGGACUCCUCUCCAUAUUGCAGCUUCAGCAGGCCGUGAUGAAAUUGUGAAAGCUCUGAUUGGAAAAGGUGCUCAGGUGAAUGUUGUUAAUCAAAAUGGCUGCACACCUCUGCAUUAUGCAGCCUCCAGAAAUAGACAAGAGAUUGCAGAUAUGCUGUUAGAGAAUAGAGCUGAUCCUGAUGCCACGGACCACUUAGAAUCCACUCCAUUACACAGAGCAGCAGCCAAAGGAAAUCUAAAAAUGAUACAGAUCCUGCUGCAGUAUAAAGCGUCUGUGAAUAUACAGGACUCUGAAGGGAACACACCUCUCCAUUUAGCCUGCGAUGAAGAGAGAGUGGAUGAGGCAAAGCUGUUGGUGUCCCAUGGUGCAAGUAUUUACAUUGAGAAUAAAGAAGAAAAGACCCCACUGAAAGUGUCAAAAGGUGGUCUGGGAACUGUACUUAAAAGAUUGGUGGAAGGGUAGCAGUAUUGGAUGAGUUAUGACUUGAAUUCCAUUCCUGAUGCAUACAUUUAAGACUAUUACCUUAAUAUUUUGAUAGCUUAAUGGUGAUGGCUUCAAUGCUGUUAUAAUGUGCACAUAUAAUGUAUGUAGUGGUGUAUAUCCAUACCCUUCAAUUGUACUGCCAAGUACACUUCUUCUAAUUGCCUGUUAAUUAAACCAGUGAGCACUUUUAAAGUAUUUUUAGUAUCCUGCAGUCUUGUUUCAUGUGAAAUUAUUGUUACUGUUAUAUGUUGGAAUUGGAAGAAACCUGUUAGGUUCUUUUCUGUUUUACAGGGCCUGGUGUGGGGUUGUUUCUUUAUAGUGUAUUGUGUUCAGACAUGCUGCUUGAGUCAUUUAAAAUUAGGUUUGCUUUGGACGCCCAUUCCACAGUCUAAUAUUACAUUUCGUUACAGCUGGCCAGAAAAUGAAAUUGAAAUUCUGUUUAAAAACAAAACAAAAAAACUUCUGUAGCAGGAAUGUUGUAGGUGUUUCCAAAAUGAAAUAUGCUUCUUGGAAUCCCAGGCUGCCUACCCAGAUGAGUUACCGAGGAGCUGGGGAUCCCAGGGCAUAUAGGCUGCUGGCUUCUCAGCAGCCCACCUGAUUUUGGGAGCUCCGGAAGCCAAAUUUCAAAGUCAGUUUGCCUGCCAGGCUGCUGUGGAGCCUGCCGGGCAAACACAGAAAACACAGUCGUCAGAAAACAGUUCUCAAAAAAAAAAAAAAAUUCCAUUAGAAAAUUUCCAAUCAGUUCUGCAUCUUGUAAAGGAACUGGCGUUUUUUUCCUUUUUUCUUCAUAUUACAUAUUUUGGUUUUUUCAGUUUAAUCCAAUUCUUAUUUCACUUCAGACCACUCUAAACUAUUCCUCUCCCUCCUUGUUAUCUAAACUACUGUUCAACUACUUCUAGAGGUUAAUUCUAUUUGCCACCCCUUUCAUUCGUCAAACCCCCUUUUGGCAUAGCUAGGAAUACUUCACUCUCAAUACAUCCUUAUUGCCUGGUCUGUCUGGCCCUCUAGCCUGUGAUGUUCCUUUCAGUUUGUCAAACGCUUCCUGGUAAUGAGAUGCUCAAACUGUGUCUGGUAAUGUACAUGCAGACUCGCUAGUGCCCCUGCAGAGACACUGUCAUCUAAUUACGUUGCUUUCUGCUGGCCCAGUAUGGCUCACUGCGAGCUCCCAUCUAAUUUUACUAUCUGCUAUCAUCUUGUGCCUUUGUUUAAUAUCCCAGCUUUUAAGUGGGUGUUUUGCCCAUUGAAUAUCUGUGUUCUGGAUUUUUUUUCCUCAGAUGUACUAGCUUCAAUCUCAUUGAAUUUCCUUUUCUUUUUACUUGGUUAGUUCUCUCCAUUUAUCUUCUGUCAGUGCUGGUGGUGUGGUGCAUCCCACUGUGUAAUAUUCUCUCUGACUUUAAUGUGCUGUUCACCUUUUUAAUAUCAAUAGUCCAGGCACCCUUUAUUUAGCAGCAGCAACUUCUGCUUCCUUAGUUAUAGAAAGAUAAAAUUGUAGUGUGACUGAAAGACGUGUUCAUGGGCAGGGACUGGUUUUUGUACGAAUAGCAUCGUAGGUGAUCAUUGUAACAAAAGUUCCAAGCAGUGCCCUGAGGUUGCAUCCCUGUAGUGAGAGUUAUCACUUUACUUAGCUUUCUUUGAAUUUUCCUGGCUGUGAUUACAUGGAUGUAAAGGGCCUUCCAGUAGAAGCUCCUUCUAGUCUCAUGAACACUUACCAAAUAAAACUGGUCUUUCUGGAAACCAGUUGUUCUGGAAAGUCCUCCUCUUUCCAGGAGGACCACAGCAAUGCACAUUCAUAAGUUGGGAGCUGAACUCUUCUGGAAUAGGAACACUUCUCAGAGGUCAAACUGUCACCAUUCCACUCAUUCCUUGUCUCUCUUGUUUGGGGGGAAGAACGGCCUCAGACUUAGCUGUGAGCUAGCUUUGAUUCAGAUGAAAAGAAGCUUUCAUGGUAAGACAAUUUCCAGUAAAAUCAUAUUCCUAAAUGUGAACUUUCAGAGUAGUGGGAGAGUAGCGUAUCCUCCUCACAUUCUCCUUUCUUGGGGAGUCUGAGUUGAAUAAAGUUAUAUUCAUAGGCUAUGAAUAGAUAGUACUUUUUACUGUGAAUGGAUUCCAUGCUGUUCCCUUGCCCUUCGGACCAUUCUUUGUCAGAGGAGUAAACCAAUGAAGUGAUGCAGUCCUGUGGCUUGUCUGCUAACCAAGCAUUUGAUGGCUUCCUCCUUGCCUUGACACUGACCCAUGUCUUACAUUUGUGCUGAUGAACACAAAAGCUUUUUAUGUGGCCAUUACAUUCAGUUUGUUGUCAUCCCCGAACAGAGCUGGCAUUGCCCCUGCACCGCUUUAGGAAGUGUAUGAUUAACAUAUAAUUCACUGAUGGCAAAAGCACCUUAGUGUCAGGGAAGUAUAGAAUUGAGAACACAGGACUUAGCAGCAAAGAACUGUUUAACAGGUGACAGUGAGACUUCUUAGAGACACUCCCCUCUUCCCCCCCCCCCCACAGUUUUUGGUGUUUUUUUCGUUUGGGCGGGAUUAGAUUGCUUAGUUAACAAAAUUAUGUAGUUAACAAUAUAAUAAAGUUUUGUAACGGCAAAUUUUAUUAAACUUAUAUGUAACAAAAGAAUCUGUAUCAUUAGCUAAAUCACUUAUGCACAUAAGUCAUAUAAAAGAGCAAAUCAGUAAGCUGAAAUAUUGCCAGAGCUGAGAUGUGGGGGGGAGAGACUGCAUGUAAAUAAAAUCAGGCUAUCCUUCAGUUACAAGGAAAAGUUACAAAACCAGAUAAUAAAACUUCCACAAUAUGACUGCUUCUGAAUAAGGGACUAAAGUGAUGCAGUUUCCUACCAACAAUUGUACGGCAAACCAGAAAAUUGUAUCUGAACACUUUAUACAAAGUGAUCUCCACACUAGAAAAUAAAAUGCACUUUUAAAUUUUCUCAGGAGAGAGUGGCAGGGUCCAAGCAAAACUUGCUCUUUAAUAAUAAGCUGUUGACAUGCAAAAUUGAUUGAGAGAGAAACCAGUGAUUUUGGCUAAGAUGCUUUUCAACCUGCAUCUCUUAAAUGCUAAAUUCCAGGAACUUCCAGAAGUAAGGACUAUAACCUCUGUUCUUAUGUCCUAACCCCUGUGUUGUAUAAUAUUACUGAAAAGGGUUAUGAUGGAGAGAAAUAUAGACUCAAACUAAAACAGAAUGAUUAUGUAUUCUAAACCAUUGUGUAGGUUUUGGUGAUGAUAGAGUUAAGUAUUAAAAUGUCCAAGGUUUGAGCUUUCAGAUCAGUAAUCUUUGGUUUGGGGUUUAUGUAAAUAACUAAGUCUGAUAAGCAUCUACAAGUACCUUGUUGCAAGGAGUGAAAUUCUACUCUAAUUCUCCUAAAACUGUUGUAGCGAGAGGAGUGAAGCCAGCGUGUCAUCAAAACUGUGCAGCUCCUAUGAGGUGAUGGGUUACAGAAGGGAACAGAGACAGUAGCUUUAUAUUGCUUUGUCCCUGGCAAUCCAGUAUUUCCAGCAAGUGCUUAGUGCUGCUCAUUGCAACAACUCACCUUCCAUGCCCUCAAAACCCCUGCGUGGGGACAGGGGUGAAAGUAGAGAGCCAAGUGAUGCAUGACUUGUGCAUCAGCCAUGGUACUAGGGGAGAGGCGAGUACUACUGCAAUCCUGAGCUGUAAAGGGGUGGGGAUGGAAUUCUACAUGGCUACUUGGGAUCUUUUCAGGUCAAAGACGUUGCUACACUCCUCUCUGUCAGCCUAUGAAACCUGCUUUCGCCAGAAGAUAAUGGCUCGGAGACGUCGUGUGACUUUUUAUAUGGAGCUUCCCUAGCGUGACGAAGUGGGAAUUUUCUGUAAUAGUUGUAUGAAUCCUAGGCAUGCCUCAGUUUCCCUCUGUACAUUGCAUUGCUACUCAGUAGAUGUACUGAGCAGGGUAACCCUGCUUUGGAACAAUGCAGGAGUUAUGUUGUGAGGCAGGGAAUGAAUAGUCACUUUAAAAAAAAAUAAAAAUAAAAAAAGUCUUGACCUGACCCAAAUCGACAGCGGGACUGGAAGAAGGGGGCUUUUGGAGGGACUCGAGUGGCCGGACCAGAGGAGACAAAAACGGGCCAGAGAGGGCUCAUCAGGGCACUGGUUUGACUAGGAUAGACCAUUGCUUAACUGCUGCCUCUGUGUGCUAACCUAAGGACUUUCAGAUUCUGUGUGCCAGGUGAUGAUAAACUGUUACCUUGUUUGAAAGGCUGCCUGUGUUGCUGUGAGCAUUCUGUCCUGAAGGGGCCGGCACGAGCCUCCCACAGGACUCUUGACUUGGUUGGAUUCGCUGCAGGGAGGCAAGGAGAGAGACAGGGAUUGCUGGUGCUGAGUCAUGGAGGCCUUGGACCUGCCCGUUUGGAAUGGAAGGGCCCAUUAAAGGGGUCACUCCCUGGAGACUGAUUAGUCUGGGGCAUAGACCAGACCCUGUGACUCCAUGGCACAUCAUAACAUUCCCCCAUCUCCCCCGAGAGGAUAGUUGGGGGAGUUCAAGAAAAAGAGUCUACUGCAUCAGUGCAAAGUUCUGUAAAAUAGCCUCCACCACUCAUGCAGCUCUUCAUGGGUUUCUGUGCUGUACAAACAUGAUUAUUUUUUUAUUUAAUUUGCCAAGAUGUUCACUGGAAAGCAAAAGCACAGUUAUAAUCCUACAUCAUAAUAACCCAUGUUUGAAGCCAGCUCAGCUGCAAUCAUAUCUGGGUGCAUUUCAAAAUGGUAAGAAACAUAUCAACCUCCUUUAGUAAAAAUACACCUAAGUAAACUUACUUUUGUCUGAAAAGCCUCCCCCACUUGCCCUCCCCCACAGUCAAUCUAGCUUUCUAAUGAGGUGCAUUAGAAAAUUUUGUGUUAGGAAGUUAGCUUUUUAUAUUCACUGAGAACUGCUGUCGCGCUCUUUAUUUGCAAUUGGUUUUACGUAGGCUGCAGAUCCCAUUCAUGUUCAGCAAAUGUAUGACUAGUAGUAGUUCCAUGAAUAUUCAAAUGACCUGUAUUAUUGCAGAAAUCAUAGUAACCUCUUUGCCUUGUAACUUAGCUUACUAAAUUAUGUUAAGGAAAAAAAGCAAAGAAAUCAGGUGAAGAAAACCAAGAAGAGAUGUUAAUUUGUACGAUUACACAAUAUGCAUAUAAAAAUGAAGGCCGUGGUAUUUUAUAGUGCCAGAGGGCAGUACAUAGUUUUUUAAAAUGUCCAUAUCAAACCUGAAGACAUGAGAAAAUCAGGUUUAAAAAAAAAUGUAGCUACAAACAGGGUCACUGAUAAAAUCACUUGUAUUUUGCAUGAUAGGAGGCGCAAAAUGCUACAUAGGGUUUGCCUAUUACAGUGGAAACAUUUUUACUAAUAAAGUUUAUAGUGUUGUUAGCUAGGUAGAGGGCUCCCUCUGUCUGGUAAUUCACUUGAAAUAUUUUGUUAGCAAACAUUUAAUCCAUGAGCAGACUGCCUCAUUACUUUUUUUUCCCCAGUGAAAUUGUUUAGUACUGUAGUUUUUUGUCGUACUCACAAGUCAACUUCAAUAAGAUUACUGAAAAUUUCAGGUAACCUAAUAACGAUCACGGAAUUUAAGGACCCAAACCUGCAGUCUUUGCUCAGGCAAAAUAUCCAUUAAAAUUAAUGGGACUUUUUCCUGCAGAGACAGCUCUGAGUAAUGACUUCAGAUUUGGCCCAGACAUUUUAGAUAUUUGGGCUUGGGUACCCGCUAGAGUGAAAUCCUGGCACUGUUGACUUCACUGGAGAUUUUGCCAUUGACUUCAGCAAGUUCAGGAUUUCACCCCUAUCAUCUAGUCCAAUCAAUUUUCAACUGAGGCAACAAAACUGAAAAACAUGGCCGAGUACAUUGUACGAUGGCAUGUGGAAUUUAAGUGUCUGUGUGUAUAGAGAGAACUCACUAGAGUACAGCAAAGUGGUAGAUGCGGAAUUUUAUAAAUGUUAGUUGGCCAAAACUGAACCCUCUUUUAUAGCACAGAUCAUAAUUAGCACCUCAUCAGUCUGAAUUUCUGAGUUUGCCUCAAAUGUUGAUACCCUCUUGUUUUGGUUAAUGAGCCAUUCAUACAGACUUUGAGCAUCAGUGAUAAUUGAACCCAGGAACUUCAGCAACAUUCCUACCAAAGUACUUCUUUAGUUAAAGGUGUAACUGCGUUAGCUGCCAGUGAGAGGCAGGCUGUUACUGUUGCUGGGGAUGGCUACUAGAGGCAGAUAUGAACACAUGCUCUAAGAGUCUGCUCCUGCACCUGUUGAAGUCAAUGGCCAAACUCCCAUUGAUUUCCAAGGUGCGGGAUCAGCUCCUUAGAUAUUGUAAUGUAUUUGCUAAGACAGUCGCCCUGUGUCAUUCUCAGCACAUGCAAUACUUCAGUUGGCUGGCAAUGACUGUUUUCUUUCAGAAAAGAGACUCCUAUGUUUACAAGCCAUCACAAACUUCACCAGCAGCCAAUAAGAAAGCUCCAAUGUUGUCUGUCUUUCCAAACCCAUUUAAUAAUUAAUAUUCUCAAAUGGGUUGGAUAAAUGGAGACAUUAGCUAUGCUGUCAUUCAUAUUUGGUACACAGUCAUAGCUAGAUAGUUAAUAAGAGCAAUAACAAAAUUGAAAAAUGAGGCCAUCAUAUGCGUACUUCUUGGAUAGUUGAGGGCAUGACCUUCAAACUCCCACCUUGUGAUUAAUACCACUAAUGCAGGUGUGUGGGUUAUAACCACACUACUUCCCGCAUUAAUUCAAUACCAACAUUUUUGAGGAUGGGGUCCGUAGCGGAUAAGGAAAUUGCAAUAUAAUUUUUAGGCUCUUGCUUGUGUCUCCACUCCUUGCAUCUCAUCGUUUUCAGGCAUUCCAGAGGCAGCAGUUUCCGCAGCAGUAGAGUAUUCAUUGGCUGCAUUAGCUUCUCUGCUUGGUGUAGCUGUGGCAACAGACUCAUUUUCUUGGGAGGAAGACGGAGGCAGAGAGGUUAAAUGACUUUCCCAAAGCCACACAAGGCCCGGUUGAGUUGAGAACUGAGGACCUCCUGACCACCAACCCCAUUCUUAUUCCAAAACAGCCUACCUUUAAAAAAUGUAAACUAUUUUUGUCAUUCUGAUUAUGUUGUAUGUAAAGCACAUUUUAUUCCAGUCAUAUGAUUAACUCACGUGUUGCAGUCAAGUCAACUUCACAGCUGCUGUUUCCAAGGCUGUUAGUAGCUGUGCACCGGUAGUAUCCAGUUUCAAAGGUGGUGAGAUUACCAAUAAUCAAAAGCCCAGUUUUUGUAUCUGUGACAAAUGGAAAACAUAUAUGUACAUGCAUGUUUAUAUACUAUAUGGGUAAUUACUUGUAUUUAUUGAAUAAAAAUAAUAUGGAUUAUUACAA